RNAcentral lists this ribosomal RNA (24 nucleotides) under Peziza cf. badioconfusa RH52806. RNAcentral describes it as "partial 18S ribosomal RNA". Lineage: Eukaryota; Fungi; Ascomycota; Pezizomycetes; Pezizales; Pezizaceae. The record is from RNAcentral.
UAGUGAANUUGCUAUUUUCAUCGG